This 392-nucleotide RNase P RNA is filed under the name Planctomycetaceae bacterium. RNAcentral describes it as "RNase P RNA component class A". It matches the Rfam family "Bacterial RNase P class A". From Rfam's summary of the family: Ribonuclease P (RNase P) is a ubiquitous endoribonuclease, found in archaea, bacteria and eukarya as well as chloroplasts and mitochondria. Its best characterised activity is the generation of mature 5'-ends of tRNAs by cleaving the 5'-leader elements of precursor-tRNAs. Lineage: Bacteria; Pseudomonadati; Planctomycetota; Planctomycetia; Planctomycetales; Planctomycetaceae. The record is from RNAcentral.
GAAGUGGGCCGGGUGAUCGCUGGCGGAUGUGGCAACACAUCGGCUGGAGGAAAGUCCGGGCUCCGCAGGACAAGGUGGUCGGUAACACCGACCGGCUGUGAGGUCAGGGAAAGUGCAACAGAAAGUAAACCGCCCGGGUUUUCCCGGGUAAGGGUGAAACGGUGAGGUAAGAGCUCACCAGCGAGCGAGGCGACUCGUUCGGCUAGGUAAACCCCACCUGGAGCAAGGCCAAGCAGAGAGGACGUUGGGCUCGUCCCGACGGUGAACUGGUCCGGUUCGCCACAACUCUCGGGUAGGCUGCGUGAGGUGUCGAGCAAUCGACAUCCCAGAUAAAUGAUCGCCGGUCGCGUCUGACGCGACAACAGAACCCGGCUUACAGGUCCGCUUCGGAG